AUGCACUUCCAUGACAGAGACAACUUGGAGAGAUCAGUUUGCAUUUCAGACAUAACAUAUUAUAAUUUGGUUGCCCUAAUAGAGACAGAGGGAUAUGGGCUUAAUGAUUUCAUGUAUUUUGUGAGGGAUCCUGGUGUUGGGAUUACAGGAAUGGAUGAAAUUUGUGAUGAUGAUAAGGUGGAUGAAAUGCUUGACCAUAUUGCUAACAAUGAUCAGCAUGUAGUGAACUUGACAGUGGUUAGGGGCACUGAUCCAAGACCUGCAGAUUUGAACUCAGGCUAUCUGGUUGAGGAGCAGGUUCCUUUGAGCCAUAUAGGAGAGAACCCUGUGUAUGUAGUAAAUCCUUCUAGUGUUCUCUUAAGAUCACCACCAAAAAGUAUAAUAUAG
Molecule: ribosomal RNA, 387 nt
Filed under: Triticum aestivum (bread wheat)
Lineage: Eukaryota; Viridiplantae; Streptophyta; Magnoliopsida; Poales; Poaceae
Description: partial small subunit ribosomal RNA
Source: RNAcentral